UACAGAGGGGGCAAGCGUUGUUCGGAAUUACUGGGCGUAAAGGGCGCGUAGGCGGCCUGCUAAGUCGAACGUGAAAUCCCUGGGCUCAACCCAGGAACUGCGUCCGAUACUGGUUGGCUUGAAUCCGGGAGAGGGAUGUGGAAUUGCAGGUGUAGCGGUGAAAUGCGUAGAUAUCUGGAGGAACACCGGUGGCGAAGGCGACAUCCUGGACCGGUAUUGGCGCUGAGGCGCGAAAGCCAGGGGAGCAAACGGG
RNAcentral lists this ribosomal RNA (253 nucleotides) under uncultured bacterium. Its description in RNAcentral is "partial 16S ribosomal RNA". It matches the Rfam family "Bacterial small subunit ribosomal RNA", at positions 524 to 776 of the family's 1533-position model. The record is from RNAcentral.